This is a long non-coding RNA of Cucumis melo (muskmelon), 569 nucleotides long. RefSeq lists it as uncharacterized. The transcript has 3 exons. The record is from RefSeq and is a predicted model, not a curated record. NCBI's taxonomy places the organism in Eukaryota, Viridiplantae, Streptophyta, Magnoliopsida, Cucurbitales, Cucurbitaceae.
AUAGAGAGAAGAGAAAUUCCAUUUUUCUUUUUCUUCUCUUUCCCUCCACCGCCAAGCUUCUCUCAUUCCAUUCCUCACCAUUUUUUUCACCAUUUCUUCACCAAUUUUCCGAGGGGUUUCAAAGGGUUGAAGGCUGAGAAAGGAAGAAGAAGAAGUUCAAAAAAAUGUAUGAUGAAGAAGACAAGGAGUUUGCAAGACAAACUUCUCUAUAGUUCAUUAAGCACAUCUCUGGUUUAUUGAUUUCGAGCUAUACAAAAAGAAUUAAGAGGGACAAAUUAAAGGGGUCGUGGUGUAUACGAUUGUUCGAGUGGUUCUGUUUCAAGGGCUGUCUGAGAUUAUACACAGGGAAUCAGAUUUACAGUUCUGGGGGUAGAGAUCGAGUUCCCGGUGUCUGAUAGACUACCUUGGUCUGCUAAAGCUCCGAUAUCGAUUGCCAGUACAUGGUUAGAAUUGUGCAUAGAGUCUAUUGUGUUAUGAUGUAUGUAUUUAUGUAUGAUAUAUAUACUUUACAGUUUGUGUAAACUUUAGGAGCUACAGUUGUGUAAAGCUUUGUAUGUUAUGUUUUGGUU